UACGUAGGUGGCAAGCGUUGUCCGGAAUUAUUGGGCGUAAAGCGCGCGCAGGCGGUCCUUUAAGUCUGAUGUGAAAUCUUGCGGCUCAACCGCAAGCGGUCAUUGGAAACUGGGGGACUUGAGUGCAGGAGAGGAAAGCGGAAUUCCAUGUGUAGCGGUGAAAUGCGUAGAGAUAUGGAGGAACACCAGUGGCGAAGGCGGCUUUCUGGCCUGUAACUGACGCUGAGGCGCGAAAGCGUGGGGAGCAAACAGG
RNAcentral lists this ribosomal RNA (253 nucleotides) under uncultured bacterium. RNAcentral describes it as "partial 16S ribosomal RNA". It matches the Rfam family "Bacterial small subunit ribosomal RNA", at positions 524 to 776 of the family's 1533-position model. The record is from RNAcentral.